Molecule: long non-coding RNA, 212 nt
Filed under: Ricinus communis (castor bean)
Lineage: Eukaryota; Viridiplantae; Streptophyta; Magnoliopsida; Malpighiales; Euphorbiaceae
Description: long non-coding RNA (RCOM_LNC001481)
Source: RNAcentral
UUAAAUAUGUUUUUCCUUUAUCACCAAUUUUAAUAUUGCAUGAUGACUCAGGAUGGGACGGCAGUAGAACAUAGGAGUUGGAUGAGUGUCCCAAUAUAAUCUGAGAGAGAUAGGGAAAGGGUAAAGAGGUAAAAAAAUUUUAAGAAAGAAAGAUUAGGACCUGCCCUGGUCGAGCAUCGCUCUCUGGGCUUAGUAGAGUGUGGUUGCCGGAG